CUACACUAGUGGAAUGGUCCA
RNAcentral lists this non-coding RNA (21 nucleotides) under Arabidopsis thaliana (thale cress). Lineage: Eukaryota; Viridiplantae; Streptophyta; Magnoliopsida; Brassicales; Brassicaceae. The record is from RNAcentral.